GGCGAUCUGCUGGAACUCAACUGACGCUAAGGCGCGAAAGCGUGGGGAGCAAACAGGAUUAGAUACCCUGGUAGUCCACGCCCUAAACGAUGUACACUAGUUGUUGGGGUGCUAGUCAUCUCAGUAAUGCAGCUAACGCAUUAAGUGUACCGCCUGGGGAGUACGGUCGCAAGAUUAAAACUCAAAGGAAUAGACGGGGACCCGCACAAGCGGUGGAGCAUGUGGUUUAAUUCGAAGAUACGCGAAGAACCUUACCUGGGCUUGAUAUCCUAAGAACCUUUUAGAGAUAAGAGGGUGCUAGCUUGCUAGAACUUAGAGACAGGUGCUGCACGGCUGUCGUCAGCUCGUGUCGUGAGAUGUUGGGUUAAGUCCCGCAACGAGCGCAACCCACGUAUUUAGUUGCUAACGGUUCGGCCGAGCACUCUAAAUAGACUGCCUUCGUAAGGAGGAGGAAGGUGUGGACGACGUCAAGUCAUCAUGGCCCUUAUGCCCAGGGCGACACACGUGCUACAAUGGCAUAUACAAUGAGACGCAAUACCGCGAGGUGGAGCAAAUCUAUAAAAUAUGUCCCAGUUCGGAUUGUUCUCUGCAACUCGAGAGCAUGAAGCCGGAAUCGCUAGUAAUCGUAGAUCAGCCAUGCUACGGUGAAUACGUUCCCGGGUCUUGUACUCACCGCCCGUCACACCAUGGGAGUUGAUUUCACUCGAAGCCGGAAUACUAAACUAGUUACCGUCCACAGUGGAAUCAGCGACUGGGGUGAAGUCGUAACAAGGUAACCGUAGGAGAACCUGCGGUUGGAUCACCUCCUUUCUA
This 813-nucleotide ribosomal RNA is filed under the name Campylobacter coli. RNAcentral describes it as "partial 16S ribosomal RNA". It matches the Rfam family "Bacterial small subunit ribosomal RNA", at positions 720 to 1533 of the family's 1533-position model. Lineage: Bacteria; Pseudomonadati; Campylobacterota; Epsilonproteobacteria; Campylobacterales; Campylobacteraceae. The record is from RNAcentral. RNAcentral also lists the same sequence under 1 other name.